GACGAACGCUGGCGGCGUGCUUAACACAUGCAAGUCGAACGGUGAAGCGCCUUCCUUUUUGGUGGGUGUGGAUGAGUGGCGAACGGGUGAGUAACACGUGAGUAACCUGCCCCCUUCUUCUGGAUAACCGCAUGAAAGUGUGGCUAAUACGGGAUAUUCUGGGUCUGUCGCAUGAUGGGUCUGGGAAAGAUAUUGUUUCGGUGGGGGAUGGGCUCGCGGCCUAUCAGCUUGUUGGUGGGGUGAUGGCCUACCAAGGCGGUGACGGGUAGCCGGCCUGAGAGGGGGGACGGGCAAAGGGGGACUGAGACACGGCCCAGAACCAUAGGGGGGGGAGGAGGGGGGAAUAUGGAACAAGGGGGGAAAGCCGGAGGCAGGGACGCCGGGGGAGGGGGGGGGGCCUUCGGGUUGGGAACCUUUUUCGCCAGGGAAGAAGGCCGGCCUCGUUUGGGGGGGGGGUGACGGUGGGGGGAAAAGAAGCGCCGGCAAAAUACGU
This 493-nucleotide ribosomal RNA is filed under the name uncultured bacterium. Its description in RNAcentral is "partial 16S ribosomal RNA". It matches the Rfam family "Bacterial small subunit ribosomal RNA", at positions 28 to 506 of the family's 1533-position model. The record is from RNAcentral.